AAAAAGACAAACCCUGGUUUCCGUGCCCAACAUUUGAUCGUCCGUCUUAUUUAAAAAAAUUAUUAAAAAAAAAUAAAAAGACAAGUCACGCAUAAAAUAUUAAUCAUGUUUUAUCAUCUAACAACAAUAAAAAUACGAAUUAUAAAAAAAUUUUAUAUAAGACGGACAGUCAAAGUUGGACACGAAAAUUCAGGGUUUGUCUCUCU
Molecule: microRNA precursor, 206 nt
Filed under: Oryza sativa Japonica Group (Japanese rice)
Lineage: Eukaryota; Viridiplantae; Streptophyta; Magnoliopsida; Poales; Poaceae
Description: MIR812 microRNA precursor family
Rfam family: MIR812 microRNA precursor family
Source: Rfam by way of RNAcentral